GUUCGAGUAACUCAAUGGUAGAGUGUAACAUUGAAGCUGUUUUGGUUGUAAGUUCGAGUCUUACCUUGAACA
Molecule: transfer RNA, 72 nt
Filed under: Claviceps sp. Clav50 group G5
Lineage: Eukaryota; Fungi; Ascomycota; Sordariomycetes; Hypocreales; Clavicipitaceae
Also listed under: 2 other names
Description: tRNA-Phe
Rfam family: tRNA
About the family: Transfer RNA (tRNA) molecules are approximately 80 nucleotides in length. Their secondary structure includes four short double-helical elements and three loops (D, anti-codon, and T loops).
Source: RNAcentral